This 919-nucleotide long non-coding RNA is filed under the name Ursus maritimus (polar bear). Its description in RNAcentral is "lncRNA (ENSUMAG00000010395.1)". The record is from RNAcentral. Lineage: Eukaryota; Metazoa; Chordata; Mammalia; Carnivora; Ursidae.
GGCCGGCGGACCGAGCUGGGACAGAUGCCACCCCCGGGACUUUCCCGGAGAGCAGCCCCGGGGCGGUGGAAUCACACUCCUGCGCUCAGACACACGGCCUCCUGCUCCCUGCGCUCCCUCCCGCCCCCUCUUCCUCUGCCUCUUCCUCAGAUCCUCUCUCCUCUGAUUUCUUCGCGCGCUCUCGCCCGGUCUCUGUAGGUUUCCCUCUUCCUUCCUCCCUCGCCUUCCCUUUCUCUCUCCCCCCAUCCCCGUGUCUGUCCCCCUUUCUCUUUCCGUGAGACAGUUUGUGUUACUUCACCAGCAGCAUGGAACAAGUCCUCUGCUUUCGUCCGCCCUGUCCCCUGUCCCCCAGCAGCAGGGGCGAAUGGGCCUGCGCUCUGCACCAACAGUCACCUGCAAGGCUCUGCUGCACUCCCCUUCCCCUGUAUUCAGCCCAGCCAGUCACCGGGAACUCCCCCUACACAGCCUCUGGUGACCGAGGACCUUGCUAGGCCCAGUCCUGCUCCCCUGGCCCUUGCGUCUACUCUUCGCCUCCUCCCAGGUGAAGUACUCGGCUCAGAGGAGGGACUGAAGCCCGGCAUGGAUGCUGUGUCUGAGCAGAAAGUCAGAGAGCCCGCCCAGCCUGCUUCUCCGGGAAGGAAACUGGCCUGGAAGGCUGACCAAGGAUUGGGGUUGGGGUGCUCCCUUUGAGCCAGCGCUGUGAAGGGAGAGAUGCUGUGCCUGACCCCACACCCCCCCGCACCCCCACCCAGGCCUGGUGCUGAGGAUACAGCUCUUCUCAGUGUCUGAACACAAUCUCCAAAAUUGAAAUGUAUAUUUUUGCUAGGAGCCCCAGCUUCCUGUGUUUUUAAUAUAAAUAGUGUACACAGACUGACAGAACUUUAAAUAAAUGGGAAUUAAAUAUUUAAGAGUUGAUGCA